UACAGAGGUCUCAACCGUUGUUCGGAUCCAUUGGGCGUAAAGGGUGCGUAGGCGGUCGUGCAAGUCGGAUGUGAAAUCUCAGGGCUCAACCCUGAAACUGCAUUCGAUACUGCGUGGCUAGAGUGCUGGAGAGGAGACUGGAAUUUACGGUGUAGCAGUGAAAUGCGUAGAUAUCGUAAGGAAGACCAGUGGCGAAGGCGAGUCUCUGGACAGCAACUGACGCUGAGGCACGAAGGCCAGGGGAGCAAACGGG
Molecule: ribosomal RNA, 253 nt
Filed under: uncultured bacterium
Lineage: Bacteria
Description: partial 16S ribosomal RNA
Rfam family: Bacterial small subunit ribosomal RNA
Source: RNAcentral